AAGUCGUAACAAGGUUUCCGUAGGUGAACCUGCGGAAGGAUCAUUACCUUUCUGGCUAUUUAAUAGCUUGUCUGGGGGGCUGCAGUUUCUGCCAGCUCUCUGAACUUACAUUGCCGGUGUUUUUUGCGUACCUACAUGUUUCCUCGGCGGGCUUGCUUGCCGGUUGGACAAACUAAAACUCUUUGCAAUUGCAAUCAGCGUCUGAAUUAUAAUAAUAAUUACAA
This 224-nucleotide unclassified non-coding RNA is filed under the name plant metagenome. RNAcentral's name for it is "partial contains small subunit ribosomal RNA and internal transcribed spacer 1". The stretch from base 1 to 46 matches the Rfam family "Eukaryotic small subunit ribosomal RNA", at positions 1786 to 1831 of the family's 1831-position model. The record is from RNAcentral.